RNAcentral lists this ribosomal RNA (463 nucleotides) under uncultured bacterium. RNAcentral's name for it is "partial 16S ribosomal RNA". It matches the Rfam family "Bacterial small subunit ribosomal RNA", at positions 28 to 507 of the family's 1533-position model. The record is from RNAcentral.
GAUGAACGCUGACAGAAUGCUUAACACAUGCAAGUCUUUGGCGAAGCUGUGCUUGCACAGCCUAGCCAAGGCGGACGGGUGAGUAACGCGUAAGGAACUUGCCCUGCAGUCAGGGAUAACAGACGGAAACGACUGAGAAGACCUGGGAAAGGCAGGCGGACUCGUGCCCAGCCGGAUGGAAAGAGAUGCUGCAGGAGAGCCUUGCGUCCUAUUAUCUUGUUGGUGGGGUAACGGCCCACCAAGGCGAUGAUAGGUAGCCGGCCUGAGAGGGUGGACGGCCACUAGGGGACUGAGAUACGGCCCUUACUCCUACGGGAGGCAGCAGUGGGGAAUAGUGGACAAGGGGGGCAACCCUGAUCCAGCAAUUCUGUGUGCACGAUGAAGGUUUUCGGAUUGUAAAGUGCUUUCAGCAGGGAAGAAAAAAAUGACGGUACCUGCAGAAGAAGCGACGGCUAAAUACGUG